This 492-nucleotide ribosomal RNA is filed under the name uncultured bacterium. Its description in RNAcentral is "partial 16S ribosomal RNA". It matches the Rfam family "Bacterial small subunit ribosomal RNA", at positions 29 to 507 of the family's 1533-position model. The record is from RNAcentral.
AGUGAACGCUGGCGGUAGGCCUAACACAUGCAAGUCGAACGGCAGCACAGUAAGAGCUUGCUCUUACGGGUGGCGAGUGGCGGACGGGUGAGGAAUACAUCGGAAUCUACUUUUUCGUGGGGGAUAACGUAGGGAAACUUACGCUAAUACCGCAUACGACCUACGGGUGAAAGCAUGGGAUCUUCGGACCUUGCGCGAUUGAAUGAGCCGAUGUCGGAUUAGCUAGUUGGCGGGGUAAAGGCCCACCAAGGCGACGAUCCGUAGCUGGUCUGAGAGGAUGAUCAGCCACACUGGAACUGAGACACGGUCCAGACUCCUACGGGAGGCAGCAGUGGGGAAUAUUGGACAAUGGGCGCAAGCCUGAUCCAGCCAUACCGCGUGGGUGAAGAAGGCCUUCGGGUUGUAAAGCCCUUUUGUUGGGAAAGAAAAGCAGCAGGUUAAUACCCCGCUGUUCUGACGUUACCAAAAGAAUAAGCACCGGCUAACUUCGUG